CGUAUAGCCUCACAAGUGUAUGACGGCAAAGCAUUGGAGAGAUUUUUAGGAGAAAUCAUUAGGCCUAUGGAUAGACAAUAAAAGUGAUAUCGGAGAUUGUUUUAUUAUAAUAAAAUGUGUUUUGAAUGUAUUUGUGUGUGGAACUACGGGUGUAUGAGGGCGUGGAGGAAGACUCGGUAGACAGGCGGAAUUUUAACAGAGCUCCGGGCUCGCGUUUAUUCAGUCCGCGCACUUUCAAAGCUAAAAAAAAACAAAAACAAACAACCUCACAACAGGAAACAGGUCGGUCCCGAACUCACAGCUUUCACUCAGUCAAGUUCAAGUUCACGCUUCUUGGGGUGUGUGUGUGUGUGUGUGUGUGUGUGUGUGUGUGUGUGUGUAUAUAAGCUCUCUCUCUCGCUCGCUCUGGUUACAGGACUCGCUGAAAGCACGAAAGCACGGGAAGAUCGACCAGUGAUUGUCUUGCGACGUAAUGAGCACCCCUGCCUUACUGUUAUGAGUUACUGUACUGUUACAACACUUCCAACAUUGCCAGAGGAACCACUGAGCACUCCCAGUGUCUCAGGGCGCUAUCGGGUUGUUCCUUGCGAGGUGUAUCAGCUCCUUCUCCGCCACCUACUGGGUUGGAGUAUGGAGCGUCGACGUGAAGGCAAAAAAGAGAGAAAAAAACAGCAACAACUAUCGUCUAAAUCCCACUGUACACGCUACUGUCUCAUGGUGUGGAGGGCAGUGAGGUGGUACAUGGCAUGGCUAAAUUCAUUAACUGGAUACAAACAUGAACACGGAACAGACAGUAAUACUGAACUCUUAAAAACACCAGGCAGUGCUGUCACACUGAGACUCAGAG
Ictalurus punctatus (channel catfish) is the source of this 847-nucleotide long non-coding RNA. RefSeq lists it as uncharacterized. The record is from RefSeq and is a predicted model, not a curated record. Lineage: Eukaryota; Metazoa; Chordata; Actinopteri; Siluriformes; Ictaluridae. The transcript has 3 exons.